Molecule: ribosomal RNA, 471 nt
Filed under: uncultured bacterium
Lineage: Bacteria
Description: bacterial SSU rRNA
Rfam family: Bacterial small subunit ribosomal RNA
Source: RNAcentral
GACGAACGCUGGCGGCGUGCCUAAUGCAUGCAGGUCGAGCGACGCAUGCCCGGUGGGUAACCACGGGGUAUGACGGAGCGGCGAACGGGUGAGUAACACGUGAGUAACCUGCCCCGAAGAUCGGGAUAGCCCGGGAAACCCGGAUUAAUACCGAAUACCCUCUCUGGAUCGCAUGGUCCGGUGAGGAAAAGCCUUUGUGCUUCGGGAUGGACUCGCGGCCUAUCAGCUAGUUGGUGAGGUAACGGCUCACCAAGGCAACGACGGGUAGCUGGUCUGAGAGGACGAUCAGCCACACUGGGACUGAGACACGGCCCAGACUCCUACGGGAGGCAGCAGCAGGGAAUCUUGUCCAAUGGGCGAAAGCCUGAGACAGCGACGCCGCGUGAGGGAUGAAGGCCUUCGGGUUGUAAACCUCUUUCAGGAGGGACGAAAUUGACGGUACCUCCAGAAGAAGCCCCGGCCAACUACGUG